Molecule: ribosomal RNA, 468 nt
Filed under: uncultured bacterium
Lineage: Bacteria
Description: partial 16S ribosomal RNA
Rfam family: Bacterial small subunit ribosomal RNA
Source: RNAcentral
GACGAACGCUGGCGGCGUGCUUAACACAUGCAAGUCGAACGGGAAGGCCCUGCUUUUGUGGGGUGCUCGAGUGGCGAACGGGUGAGUAACACGUGAGUAACCUGCCCUUGACUUUGGGAUAACUUCAGGAAACUGGGGCUAAUACCGGAUAGGAGCUCCUGCUGCAUGGUGGGGGUUGGAAAGUUUCGGCGGUUGGGGAUGGACUCGCGGCUUAUCAGCUUGUUGGUGGGGUAGUGGCUGACCAAGGCUUUGACGGGUAGCCGGCCUGAGAGGGUGACCGGCAACAUUGGGACUGAGAUACGGCCCAGACUCCUACGGGAGGCAGCAGUGGGGAAUAUUGCACAAUGGGCGGAAGCCGGAUGCAGCAACGCCGCGGGCGGGAUGACGGCCUUCUGGUUGUAAUCCGCUUCCGCCUGUGACGAAGCGGGAGUGACGGUAAUGGGUAAAGAAGCACCGGCUAACUACGUG